UACGUAGGGUGCAAGCGUUGUCCGGAAUUAUUGGGCGUAAAGAGCUCGUAGGCGGUCUGUCGCGUCGGAUGUGAAAACCCAGGGCUCAACCCUGGGCCUGCAUUCGAUACUGGCAGACUAGAGUUCGGUAGGGGAGACUGGAAUUCCUGGUGUAGCGGUGAAAUGCGCAGAUAUCAGGAGGAACACCGGUGGCGAAGGCGGGUCUCUGGGCCGAAACUGACGCUGAGGAGCGAAAGCGUGGGGAGCAAACAGG
This 253-nucleotide ribosomal RNA is filed under the name uncultured bacterium. RNAcentral describes it as "partial 16S ribosomal RNA". It matches the Rfam family "Bacterial small subunit ribosomal RNA", at positions 524 to 776 of the family's 1533-position model. The record is from RNAcentral.